Numida meleagris (helmeted guineafowl) is the source of this 1436-nucleotide long non-coding RNA. RefSeq lists it as uncharacterized. Lineage: Eukaryota; Metazoa; Chordata; Aves; Galliformes; Numididae. The transcript has 2 exons. The record is from RefSeq and is a predicted model, not a curated record.
AUUGCUAACACAUGGCAGUGCUUUGCACUUGGUCUUCUGCCUAAGGAGGUCCAAGCGAUUUCUAGAAUCAGAGCCUGAAUUCUUCCAAGACUUGGAAAAGAAGCCUGAUGCACUGCUGUCACUGAAAAACAGUGCAGAGAAGGAGAGCAGAGACCUACUCAUGCUUUUAGUUUACACAGCCUCAGAUUCAAUUUCCCUCUGAAGUUCAGAGGCUCCCAAAGCACAAACAUCAACAGCUUUACCCCAGAUUUUAGUUACCAGCAGAACUGGAGGAAGAAGCUAUUUGUGGCACCUUCCCUAUUAAAACACGGAAGUCUUCAGGUCAGAAACACAAUGCUGUACAUUUGCAUUUCAGGUAUCCAGGUCAGUCAGUCAGUCUGGGAAACACGUAGGGCUUCCCCCAUCCUGACUCUCUGCCCUACUUUGCCAUGUUGGGAGCAACACAGCCCCAGCUAGAACCAGUCUCUUCUCUUUAUAGUGGAUGAACUGAAUUUUGUUUUUAGUUCUCAGAGGGCUCAAGUCAACUGUGCUAGAUUAGACUUGAAUUGCUCUACACUUUUGUCAGGAAUAGCCAGAUAUGAGUUAGUUUUGAGGCAAGGUAAUUACAUCCUGAACAGACAGAAUGUUCCCAGGAUAAAUCUCCUCCCAGUUCCCAGCUGGCCAGCUGUAACCAAACUUUCUUUACAGGGUACACACCAGGGCAGGUCAACUGGGGUGUAGGAGAACUGCCCCCCCACAUUAGCACCACCCAAUGAAGUAUGAAUAGCAACUGGAAGGGAAAGUAGCCGCUUGGCUGCACAGCCUCCUGUUCAGACUGCAGCUGGAUCCAGCUUGCUCGUUGCUGAGAUUAGCUUUUCCCACAAGGUGAAUUUCUCCUUGAGUCCAGGAUCUACACAGCCAGGUCUCAAGACUGGUCCCUCCCAGUCCAGAAGGUGAAUGUGGCCGGAAGAAAAAGUCACGAAAGAAUAAAACCCCAAUGGGAGUAAUUCUGCUGCAUGAAUACUUCCUUUCUGAGCUUGGCUAAGAGUUUUGAAACUGCAGUUUGCUAACAGAGGGUGGAGAAGCCAAGUUAAAGCUCAGCCUGCGGAUCCCGACGAGCUGGGUGCUUCAGACAAGCUGCUUUGGAAAAUGCUGUUUCUUACACCCACCGAAAAGUGGAUGACCUCAAUAUCUGGCAUUACAAGCGGUCUCUGAUUUGGACAGCACAUGGACUCAGGUUUUUUCAGCACAACCCAGGGAUCAGCUGGUACCUCCCCUAGCACCGCUCACGAAGGGCAACCUAUCAGCCCUACACGCAAUGGCCCUUCUGUGGAACUUCAUAAGAGCUGGGCACGUGGAAACCACCAGCUUUUAAAAUGCCACAUUCUUCUUGUUAUCUGUGUUUGGUUUGGCACAUUUUCUCCAAGAAAUAGGCCUGUUAGCACCUUUUCUCCUAA